RNAcentral lists this long non-coding RNA (1126 nucleotides) under Mus musculus (house mouse). Its description in RNAcentral is "RIKEN cDNA 9630013A20 gene". Lineage: Eukaryota; Metazoa; Chordata; Mammalia; Rodentia; Muridae. The record is from RNAcentral.
CAUGGAAGAAGCAGGCCAAGAUUCAAUGACCUUUAUUGAGCCACAUGCAAGGGGCAUGUGUGAAGACUAGUAUACUGACUGUUUGUUAAACACUUAAUACAAGCUACACUCUCUUGGUGGGGUCAUUAUUUUUCUCAUCCCACAAGGGAUGAAAUACAAGAAUAGUUUAAAGUUUUAUACAAAUUUCACUUUCCCAAAUAUUGGUGUGUUACAAAUAGGAUUCAAAAUCAUCAAGAGUUACAGUGGAAAUUUUAAAUCAUGCAUUCUGGACAGUAUUAUCCUGAAUCCACUGUCAAACUUGUGAAUUAUUCUGACAAAAUUCUCUAUGAACAAAAUACCUCAAAUGAUGAUCAUUUACAUAAAUAAUCUUUUAAAGCUUUUCAAACACAUGCUAUUAAAUUAUUUCAAAAUAUAGAAAUAACUUCAUAUGGCGUUUUCACCUGGAACAAUGUAUUCUUUCCUAAGAGGGCACCCACUAUUCCAUGUUUUGCCAUAUCUCUUUUCCACAUUCAGAUGGACACUGCCCAUUUACUGGGACUAGAGGAGAUGACCACCCAUUUUGAUCUCUGGAUAAAGAAGAGGAAGAAUGUAUUGAAUGAAAGCAAAAACAAGUUCAUUCACUGAACCUGAAGCUCCAUGAUUUUGCUAGAUUUAACUGGGGAGCAAUCACUAACAGAAUUCCGUGUCACUCUGAAUAGCACUCGAACUUCAGGCAUUGGAUUCCAGGCCUUGGACACAGUAGGAAUCUGCUGUAUCAAUGAAGGAUGUGUCCAGUCAUUGGCUUCCUGAGACAUAGUCUGAUUAUGUCAUUCAAACUACCCUACAUCUCAUGGUCUGUUUGCCUGUGACUUCCAAGUAAUAAGAUCACAGGUGUGCUCCUCAUAAGUGUUUUAAAAAGACACAUUUCAAACACUUGAAAAAAAGUUUUCACUGUUGUUAAGCAGAUGAAAAAAAUUGAAAUUAUAGAUCUUGUGAAAUGAUUCAUAAAUGCUUGAAAACUUGUGUUCUCGGAAAGUUUCAAGGCUCUUAAAAUCAUUUAGAAUUUGCAGAAAAAAGAAAAUGCUUUGGCAAUAGUCUUUCAAAAAGAGCAUACACAUACAUGUAAAAUGUCUCAAGGAAAAGAUGU